Molecule: long non-coding RNA, 1667 nt
Organism: Manis pentadactyla (Chinese pangolin)
Lineage: Eukaryota; Metazoa; Chordata; Mammalia; Pholidota; Manidae
Exons: 2
Source: RefSeq, a predicted model, not a curated record
CGCCAACCAAUGGCAGGGCAGCACUGAUCCUGUUCCUCCAAUAAGGAGAGCGCAGGGGGACGAGGGCGGCUGCUUCCGGGAGACCGCAGGUGUGGAGGCGAGCGUCGCUCCCUAAGCCGGACGGGCUUCCCAAGGUGGCAGGAUUGCUGACAAUGUCCCAAGCUGCCCGCAAAACUUUGAAGGCCUCCUCAGCCCGGGGAUGAUGAUUUUUAUCAGGAUGAACCUACCAAGACAAAGAUUUCACCACAAAUCCAUUCCAACCCUCUCCUAUCUUGGGUCAAAAUAAACUUUUACAAAGGUUACAUCUCUCACCACUCUUGGAGAGUCAAAAUAGGUAAAUAAUUAACUGCGAGAACUGAGUUCAAGUCCUACCUCUGUCACUAAUAGCUAUGUAACCUAGAAUAUGGUAUAUAUCGUGGAUUGUUGGGAAUAUUAAGUGACAAUACAUGUGACGUAUACACCACAGAGUAUAGCACAAGAGUGAGCCACCAUCCCAGUGUGCCUGGGACUGUCCCAUUUUUAGCAGAGUUCAUGUCUCAGGAAAUUCCUCAAUCCCAGGCAAACAGGGAUGGUCAGUCCACCCUAUCUGACACAUGCAUACCAAGCCCUCACAUUUUAACUUUAUUGUCAGGCAUAAAGUAAGAGUUCUGAACAUACUACAUCCUCAAACUCAUUCUUUUCUAUCUAGAAAACUCUAAUAUGUACUCAAAACUUCCUACAAUAGUUUGCCUUUCUAUCCCAGAAAUGAAAUAGCAUAUCAUGAACCUCAACAGGUUUCUUAACCCCUUUUCAGACCCUUGUCCAAGAUAAAUGAUAUUCUCACUUCCUAUAGCUUCCUCAACCUCCUCAUUCUCAUCCUCAUUCCCUCAAAAAACAGAAAUAAAGGUGGUCUACUGACUGAUGCCAAAUAAACAGAAUAUUGUUAAAUCUCCCAUAUUCCCAAGCUUAUAGACCAGCCUUUCAGUCAGGGUCACUCUGGGGCCUCAUAAAGGAAGUGAGAGGUUCUAUAAAAGGAGACCACAGACAUUCUGGCCCAGAACAAGGGAGAACUUUCGGGCUUGGGGCAGGUGCAUUGAGGAACUAUAAACUACAUCUCUGCUCCAAGAAGUUAAAUUGAAAAUAAGAAUUUUUGUAAUAAUGAUACACGUGGAGAAUGGUAUUCCCCAAGAGAAGGUAUCUGCUAAAAGACAUGAAGGUGACAAAAAGAGCUGUCUAUUAGUAACAAUUUGAGUGUAAGCACUAAAAAACAAUUUGUUGUUUCCACAUUCUUAAGAAUAUCCCAGGCUAUUCACUUAAGCAUUUAUUUCCCAUCAAACUAAUUUGGUCCUCUGGUAAGUUACCAGCCUGGUACUUUAUUGUGCCUUGAAGGGUUAAUGGAAACCAUAGUUGCACCACUCUUUGGCAUCACCCAACUGUUGAGGUAAUGUGCACGUUGUGGUAUUUUACUAGUCUGGACCUCCAAUGCAACUUACACACAUUACUUAUAUUCAUAAUGUAAUUUUACUUGUACAGAAGGAACAGUAUCAUACGUAAAAAUUUCAACCUAGUAUCUACUUCUAGUAGCAUUUGCAUGCUUGUGUUAAACCUAUUUCCUCAGCUUAAGGUGUGUCACACCUCCCACCUGUGCCCCCCUCAUCAAUAAAAGCAACUUUAUCUUCAUGUAUGAC